UAAACGUACACCUUUACAAGUUUUUAAAACUAAAUAUUCAACCUUUCAAAACGUAUUUCUCAAUGUAUGAACACCUGUUUGCAGAAUCCCAUUUACAAGGUUUCAAAACCGGGCAACAAUGAAAUACACCGUUAGAACAGUGCCAGAUUUGAAACUCUGCAAAUGCGGUGGUGAAAUUGUUUGAACUUUGAAAAUGUGUUGCUGAAAAUGAUGAAGAAGAUAAAAUAGAACACAAAAUCAUGUUUACAGAUGUUUGAAUUUUAGUUUUAUUUUUUUUCAGGUUAUAAUCUCUUUUUUCAGUGUUGCAAAACCUUUUUUACAAGGUGUUGAGUUUUCAAACCCAGACUUACAAGUCUGUGAAACUUUUUUUUUCAGGUUUGAAUUAUGGCAGGAAACUGACUCCAUAGGUACUUAGCCUACAAGUUUUGUGAAAAACAUAAAAACAUUCAUACGGUAUCUCCGUAAAACGACGGCGAAAGUUAAAUUUUUUGAACGUAUAUUACGGACAUACCGGACAGAAAUGUUACGGAGGGGAGGAGUCUCGGAGGAAAAACGGACAUUACGGAGAAUCACGAAUGAAUGGACUUUCGGUCGGAGACGGUUGGAUCGCAUACGAGAAUGUACGCAUGUGGAAACGAGGCGUAAAGGUCUAUUUUUCAGCUAGGAGAAUUUCUCGCACGUGCUAAGGCACAUCUUCUAUCUCUCUUUGCUUCAGAGUAUCAGUUUACCAUACCGAAAAUACUUUAUACUAAAUAAAGUCUCUUUAAAGCUAUUCCUUUGGAUUCGACCAGUGGUGUAGUCUACGUGAUACGCAGGUACAGUGGCGAACUUAGCCCUUUGGGGGCUCCAGGCGAACAGUCAUUUGGGGGCCCCUGCAUCUACCGGUCUCAGUACCUUAUAUCGCAUAAUGAGAUACUCCAUACAAGGGAUGAACAAAAGUCACUAUCCUUCUUUCAUGCAAAUGUUAAUUAUCUAUUUACAAAUUGAGAAUAACAUACAAAACAAUAAGAUUAGUUAUGUUGACACAUUACACUGACUGUUAACCAUAAGUCCUCAUUUACCUGAGGGUUUCCAGUAGUUCACAGCAGCUAUCUGCUGUGAGCUACUGGAAACCACUACUGGAAACCCACUGAUAGCUGCGUCCAGCUAUCACUGUGCUCUUCAGACCUUUCAUGGUUGAUU
RNAcentral lists this long non-coding RNA (1182 nucleotides) under Gadus morhua (Atlantic cod). RNAcentral's name for it is "lncRNA (ENSGMOG00000025764.1)". The record is from RNAcentral. Lineage: Eukaryota; Metazoa; Chordata; Actinopteri; Gadiformes; Gadidae.